UACGAAGGGAGCUAGCGUUGUUCGGAAUCACUGGGCGUAAAGCGCACGUAGGCGGAUUUGCCAGUCAGGGGUGAAAUCCCGGGGCUCAACCUCGGAACUGCCUUUGAUACAGCAAGCCUUGAGUUCGAGAGAGGUGGGUGGAAUUCCUAGUGUAGAGGUGAAAUUCGUAGAUAUUAGGAAGAACACCGGUGGCGAAGGCGGCCCACUGGCUCGACACUGACGCUGAGGUGCGAAAGCGUGGGGAGCAAACAGG
Molecule: ribosomal RNA, 253 nt
Filed under: uncultured bacterium
Lineage: Bacteria
Description: partial 16S ribosomal RNA
Rfam family: Bacterial small subunit ribosomal RNA
Source: RNAcentral